GAAGUUAUUUUGAAAGUUCUAACAAGGUCUGCUCAGUUAGCGCUGAGAAUUAGUUAGUAAUUUUGUUAGAUUACCGUUUAGAGCAAGUAAAUUCUAAGAAUUAGAACGUUUAAAUAAUAAGUAAGUUAUAUCAACUAUAAGCCUUAUCUUCAAUAGGCAUUUAUGGAUCUUUAAGUAAUCAGUGUAGGGUAUCUUGUGUUUGGAAUGGACUCAAAUUUUCAUAAUGAUGAAAAAUUCUUAUCGUUAAGAAGCCUUCUCAUUUUAAAGUCUAAAACUGGAACCUGGUCUGUGUAAAACUAUUGAGCUAGAUAUUAUCUAUGAAGUGCUGGAUUGAGUCUGCAGUAUGAGUGUACAUAGCUGUCAGGAGAAGUGCAGUUUUCUUUGUUUUUCCUUUAUGAGUACAGGUAAUCGGUAUGUCCAGCCAUUCAUUAGUCAAUCACAUCAUUACAUACUAUUUAAACAAGUGCUGGGGUUAAUUGGUUGUUUAUUUCUUUGUCAUAUUCUUUAUAUAUUUCCAUCUGAUAGGCUUUUUGUUGCUACCUUGAAAUGGAGAUAAAAUAUGUUGGUGUAUUUGGAAAACAUUUGCUACAUUUUGGGAAUAUAUUCUUCAAACUUUUGCAUAAGUUCAAUUAAAGAAUAACAGAACAACAGACAUACAGAAUGAGAGAACCACCUUAACUAAAAUGUUUUAUAAAACAUCAAUAGACAUCCAAUGGGACCAAGUAUUGCCACAUCCAAUCUAUGAAGAACUCAAAUUGUUGAAGCUCUUCAAAUAAUCAAGCAGGCUGAUAUUGAAUUUGUGAUCAAUGAGUGUACUCGUAAAGUUAUCUCUAUUCCAUGGUGAUGAGCAGUGCAGAAUAAUUACUGAUUUUGGACUCGCACAAACUUUUA
RNAcentral lists this long non-coding RNA (891 nucleotides) under Androctonus crassicauda. The record is from RNAcentral. Lineage: Eukaryota; Metazoa; Arthropoda; Arachnida; Scorpiones; Buthidae.